Molecule: unclassified non-coding RNA, 20 nt
Filed under: Chlamydomonas reinhardtii
Lineage: Eukaryota; Viridiplantae; Chlorophyta; Chlorophyceae; Chlamydomonadales; Chlamydomonadaceae
Description: small RNA Cre_2328
Source: RNAcentral
UAGGGCCAGCGCCAGCGGAG